This 593-nucleotide ribosomal RNA is filed under the name bacterium enrichment culture clone 131. Its description in RNAcentral is "bacterial SSU rRNA". It matches the Rfam family "Bacterial small subunit ribosomal RNA", at positions 8 to 596 of the family's 1533-position model. The record is from RNAcentral.
AGAGUUUGAUCCUGGCUCAGAUUGAACGCUGGCGGCAGGCCUAACACAUGCAAGUCGAGCGGAUGAGUGGAGCUUGCUCCAUGAUUCAGCGGCGGACGGGUGAGUAAUGCCUAGGAAUCUGCCUGGUAGUGGGGGACAACGUUUCGAAAGGAACGCUAAUACCGCAUACGUCCUACGGGAGAAAGCAGGGGACCUUCGGGCCUUGCGCUAUCAGAUGAGCCUAGGUCGGAUUAGCUAGUUGGUGAGGUAAAGGCUCACCAAGGCGACGAUCCGUAACUGGUCUGAGAGGAUGAUCAGUCACACUGGAACUGAGACACGGUCCAGACUCCUACGGGAGGCAGCAGUGGGGAAUAUUGGACAAUGGGCGAAAGCCUGAUCCAGCCAUGCCGCGUGUGUGAAGAAGGUCUUCGGAUUGUAAAGCACUUUAAGUUGGGAGGAAGGGCAGUAAGUUAAUACCUUGCUGUUUUGACGUUACCGGCAGAAUAAGCACCGGCUAACUUCGUGCCAGCAGCCGCGGUAAUACGAAGGGUGCAAGCGUUAAUCGGAAUUACUGGGCGUAAAGCGCGCGUAGGUGGUUCGUUAAGUUGGAUGGU